UGGGUAGCUUGUAUUGCGAAAACACUUGUU
RNAcentral lists this non-coding RNA (30 nucleotides) under Homo sapiens (human). The record is from RNAcentral. Lineage: Eukaryota; Metazoa; Chordata; Mammalia; Primates; Hominidae.